This is a non-coding RNA of Ictidomys tridecemlineatus (thirteen-lined ground squirrel), 2651 nucleotides long. NCBI's taxonomy places the organism in Eukaryota, Metazoa, Chordata, Mammalia, Rodentia, Sciuridae. The record is from RefSeq and is a predicted model, not a curated record.
UAGCCUCUCUCCAGCCUCCCUCCUGAGUGCUCAGACUCAUUAGUGGUCCACCCAACACCCACUCCUCCCCUCCGCCUUGCCAGGAGAACCUCCACUUGUUAUAGUGGAGCCCAUUCUCCUUGCAGUUGGAGGCACACUAGAGCAGAAGUCCAAGGGUUUGUGAAGAAUCUUUGACUUUCCUGAUAAAAGGCACAGAUAUGCCCGCAGCCUCCUCUUUCGUCACUUCUUGCUGUCUGGAAAAUAGACCAGAUGUCUGGAACUGCAGCAGCCCUAUGAAACCAAAGGAAGUGAGCCAGAGGAGAGAGUCCACCUGACAAGAUGAGGACAAACAGGAGGCAGGAUGGCCCGGUCCGGCAACAGAAGCAAGGCCAGCUACCCCUGGGUCCUCAGCAUGCAGGACCCACAAGGGCUCUUGCCGGGGACUCCAGCCUCUCUGCUACCAGCAGCAGACACAGAACAGCCCAACACUCAGGCCACACCUUCAUUCAAGGAGCAUAUGGUGGUAGGGGGAAUCAAACUUCAGAGUUUAGAAGCUCCUGAAUGUUUCCCUCGAUGUACUGACUUGGGGAAUUGCUACAUUGCCCUCUGGACUAUUUCGGGAGAAUGUGAGUUGGGAUCCGUGAAAGAGACAUUAAUAGAUGUGAACACUUUACCAGGAUGCAACAAAGCUGUGUUCAUAAGGAGCCGACUGGGGUCCAUCUGUUUAAUUCUCUUCUCUUCUUGAGAGAAAAUAACACAACUAUGUCAAAGUAACCCUGAGGAUGGACUCACAUCGGCCUUUCUCGUGUCCAGCGUGUGGAAAGACAGCUCAACACCAGAGCUGCGGGUAUUGUGUAUAAAUACCCCAUACCUCCAAGACUUCUUGAAUACAUUCAUAUGGACCCUCAACCUCCAGAAUGCUUUCCUGUGGCCAAAGGAGUGAGUGCAGGUGUGUGGGAAGGCUGGAGAAGAGAUGGACACCGUCAGGACAUCGUCCCACGGGGCAGCCCAGAGGAAGCAGUGGGAGAGACCAGGACGAGAUGGUCCCAGUUCAGUUUGGGUUGAGGCCUCCGAUUUCUAUGCUAACGUCCUCAGCCCCAGCACCUCAACAUGUGAUCUUAUUUGCAGAGGUAGCUAGUUAAGAUGAGGUCAGCCUGGAACUGGGUGGACCUCUAGUGCAGUAUGUCUACAGUCCAUACAAAAAACUGAAACUGGGGGACAAGUGGACAGACGCAAGCCCAAGGUGAUGCCAGGUACAGGUGGAGGCAGAGAUUUGGGUGUGCUGUAGUGUUCGGGUGCCAGCACACCCAGAGGCCAGGGAGACGUUGCCCACUCUUCCUGGCAGCCUGCGGACACCUUGGUAUCCACCUUCCUGCCUGCAGAACUGGGAGAUGACAAAUUGCUGCUAAGUCUCCUAGUUGGUGGCACUUUGUUAGAACAGCCCUGACCAACGAAUAUGUCCUUUAAGGACACUGACCUUGAUGACUAGGACGUUUCCCACACGUCUGCUGUUUUCUUCAUGCGUUUUUCUUUCCUUUGUAGAACAGUUAUUGGGCCGCAUGUUGACCACCCUGCUGAGCCCUUCCUUGGCCCCAAGAGUCUUGUUCCUGGGAGGGAAUGUGCCCGUACCUUGGUGUGUCCUUAAGGCUGCCACGUGCUGAGUUAGGUGAUGUAGGAGCAUGGUGUGCAUGCAGUAAGUGUGUAUGUGAGAGUGUGUGCAGUAUAUGUGUGUGAGUGCAUGAGAGUGAACACGUCCACGUGUGUACCUGCAAGUGUGCACAUCAGUGUGACUGUUCCUGGGUGUGAGCGUGUGUGAGCAGGAGUGAGGUCUCAGAGGCUCACACACCUGUCUGAGGCUCGGCCCCUUGUUGUUCUGGAGGUGGAGGCUGAGUUUAUCCCUGGAGAGAAGGAAACCUGCCCAAAGUUCCCACACAGGGGCCUGCGAGGGGCGGCUCCACCCUCUGAAGGGCCCAGAGUUUUCCAGUGGGGCCCUGCGGGGGUCCAGCUAGGACUGGACUGGACUCACAGCUGGGACCAACAUGAGAGAAAGGAAAGAGCAUUAAGCUUUUCCAACUGCCUCCCUGUUUUCACCCCUGGGGAUUCACCAGGAGUGGUGAGGCCGCAGAUGGGAGAGUUAUGCAGCCAUUGAAGGUCCACUUGGAGGAAUUUUUAAUCCCAGGGGAAGCUGCUUGUGGGUGGAAAGUAGAGCGACCUUCAACUCAGGAGUCCCGCAGACUCACUCAGUCCACAUCUGGGCUCACGGAUUGCUGGCGGUAUGUCCUCGGGCACCACCGCCCCUCCCUGCCUCGGGUUCUGUAAGAUGGGCCCCACAAGCCCACCAGCCCCAGAGGCAGUGGGUGACACUGAGGGGUUCCCAGCACCAGAAGCCCUGACCUGUGGCAUCUGCUGACUGUCAUGACCACCAUUCCCAGGAUGACCAAUAUCAAGCUCCUGAUGGUUUUAUGACUUACAAAAUUUCAGAAAACUUUGCACCCACACAAGCCAGGGGAGCUGACCCAGCUCACCUCCAGAGGGUUAUUCAGGAGAUUAAGGACUGUACAGACCGAACACUGAGCAACACCUAGCCCGAGAGACAAAUGGGAGCUGUCAUUACUAUUGUAUUUUAUCACAUCGUCAUAGAUACAUAAGUGCAAUAAAACGAGUGGCCAGUA